GUUGGUCUGGUGUUAGUUUGGCAUAUUAAUUUUUCGUAUUAAGGGUGUUAUUGUUUAUAACGACCAAUU
This 69-nucleotide transfer RNA is filed under the name Haematoloechus sp. CW13H. RNAcentral describes it as "tRNA-Glu". The record is from RNAcentral. Lineage: Eukaryota; Metazoa; Platyhelminthes; Trematoda; Plagiorchiida; Haematoloechidae.